This 263-nucleotide ribosomal RNA is filed under the name Escherichia coli. Its description in RNAcentral is "partial 16S ribosomal RNA". It matches the Rfam family "Bacterial small subunit ribosomal RNA", at positions 1 to 260 of the family's 1533-position model. Lineage: Bacteria; Pseudomonadati; Pseudomonadota; Gammaproteobacteria; Enterobacterales; Enterobacteriaceae. The record is from RNAcentral.
AAAUUGAAGAGUUUUAUCAUGGCUCAGAUUGAACGCUGGCGGCAGGCCUAACACAUGCAAGUCGAACGGUAACAGGAAACAGCUUGCUGUUUCGCUGACGAGUGGCGGACGGGUGAGUAAUAUCUGGGAAACUGCCUGAUGGAGGGGGAUAACUACUGGAAACGGUAGCUAAUACCGCAUAACGUCGCAAGACCAAAGAGGGGGACCUUAGGGCCUCUUGCCAUCGGAUGUGCCCAGAUGGGAUUAGCUAGUAGGUGGGGUAA